This 389-nucleotide ribosomal RNA is filed under the name Stramenopiles sp. MAST-1C. RNAcentral describes it as "partial small subunit ribosomal RNA". It matches the Rfam family "Eukaryotic small subunit ribosomal RNA", at positions 582 to 975 of the family's 1831-position model. The record is from RNAcentral.
AUUCCAGCUCCAAUAGCGUAUAUUAAUGUUGUUGCAGUUAAAAAGCUCGUAGUUGGAUUUCUGGUGGGAGCGGCCGGUCCGCCGUAAGGUGUGUACUUGGUUGUCUCCUGUCAUCCUUGUGGGAACUGCUCUGGCAUUAAGUUGUCGGGGUUAGGGAACACAUCGUUUACUGUGAAAAAAUUAGAGUGUUUAAAGCAGGCUUAUGCCGUUGAAUACAUUAGCAUGGAAUAAUAAGAUAGGACUUUGGCGUCUAUUUUGUUGGUUUGCACACCAAGGUAAUGAUUAAUAGGGAUAGUUGGGGGUAUUCGUAUUUAAUUGUCAGAGGUGAAAUUCUUGGAUUUAUGAAAGACGAACUUCUGCGAAAGCAUUUACCAAAGAUGUUUUCAUUG